AGAGCUUUAGGUUAUGUUUAGACUUGUUGUUUUCAAAACAAUAGGAAGUGUUUUGCUAUGCUCUG
Molecule: transfer RNA, 65 nt
Filed under: Paradiplozoon opsariichthydis
Lineage: Eukaryota; Metazoa; Platyhelminthes; Monogenea; Mazocraeidea; Diplozoidae
Description: tRNA-Trp
Source: RNAcentral